This 358-nucleotide long non-coding RNA is filed under the name Nicotiana benthamiana. RNAcentral describes it as "long non-coding RNA (NBEN_LNC041492)". Lineage: Eukaryota; Viridiplantae; Streptophyta; Magnoliopsida; Solanales; Solanaceae. The record is from RNAcentral.
UUGCAUCUGCAGCUGUUGGUUGUGAUUUUGAUUGGGGUGUUGGUAUUUCAUCUUCCAUCUUCUUUAGGUUUUGUUGAUAAUAUAUUUGCCGCAACGUUUCUAUUUCUCGCUCAACGCUUCUUGAUGACCUAUAACAAUAAAACUAACUACGUCUCAUUCCAAAUCAAGCUUUCUAUUUCUCGCUUCAACGCUUCUUGAUGAGCUAUAACAAUAAAACUAAUUACGUCUCAGUUCCAGAUCAAGUUAACGUUCAUUUACUUCCUCAUAGAAUAUAAGCUACAUUAAGACAUUGUUCUACUAAUUAAUUGACUUUAAGAGGAAUUAAAUUAAUGAAUAAUUUAAUAGAAGAGUAAAAAAG